GAUGAACGCUGACAGAAUGCUUAACACAUGCAAGUCGACUCGAGUCUUCGGACUUGGGUGGCGCACGGGUGAGUAACGCGUAAAGAACUUGCCCCUUAGACCGGGACAACAUCUGGAAACGGAUGCUAAUACCGGAUGUUAUGGUUUUUUCGCAUGGAGGAAUCAUGAAAGCUAGAUGCGCUAAGAGAGAGCUUUGCGUCCCAUUAGCUAGUUGGUGAGGUAACGGCCCACCAAGGCAAUGAUGGGUAGCCGGCCUGAGAGGGUGAACGGCCACAAGGGGACUGAGACACGGCCCUUACUCCUACGGGAGGCAGCAGUGGGGAAUAUUGGACAAUGGACCACAAGUCUGAUCCAGCAAUUCUGUGUGCACGAUGACGUUUUUCGGAAUGUAAAGUGCUUUCAGUCGGGAAGAAGUCAGUGACGGUACCGACAGAAGAAGCGACGGCUAAAUACGUGCCAGCAGCCGCGGUAAUACGUAUGUCGCAAGCGUUAUCCGGAUUUAUUGGGCGUAAAGCGCGUCUAGGCGGCAAGGAAAGUCUGAUGUGAAAAUGCGGAGCUCAACUCCGUAUGGCGUUGGAAACUGCCUUACUAGAGUACUGGAGAGGUAGGCGGAACUACAAGUGUAGAGGUGAAAUUCGUAGAUAUUUGUAGGAAUGCCGAUGGGGAAGCCAGCCUACUGGACAGAUACUGACGCUAAAGCGCGAAAGCGUGGGUAGCAAACAGG
This 724-nucleotide ribosomal RNA is filed under the name uncultured Fusobacterium sp. Its description in RNAcentral is "bacterial SSU rRNA". It matches the Rfam family "Bacterial small subunit ribosomal RNA", at positions 28 to 776 of the family's 1533-position model. Lineage: Bacteria; Fusobacteriati; Fusobacteriota; Fusobacteriia; Fusobacteriales; Fusobacteriaceae. The record is from RNAcentral.